UACGUAGGGUGCGAGCGUUAAUCGGAAUUACUGGGCGUAAAGCGUGCGCAGGCGGUUAUGCAAGACAGAUGUGGAAUUCCCGGGCUUAACCUGGGAACUGCAUUUGUGACUGCAUGACUAGAGUACGGCAGAGGGGGAUGGAAUUCCGCGUGUAGCAGUGAAAUGCGUAGAUAUGCGGAGGAACACCGAUGGCGAAGGCAAUCCCCUGGGCCUGUACUGACGCUCAUGCACGAAAGCGUGGGGAGCAAACAGG
This 253-nucleotide ribosomal RNA is filed under the name uncultured bacterium. RNAcentral describes it as "partial 16S ribosomal RNA". It matches the Rfam family "Bacterial small subunit ribosomal RNA", at positions 524 to 776 of the family's 1533-position model. The record is from RNAcentral.